UAACUUACCGAUCCCUCCUACCGAUGGCUCCCUCCAGAAGGGUUGGGCCACCGGCUUCGGGUGUUACCUACUUAAUGACUUGACGGGGGGUGUGUAAAACACCCGGGAACUUAUUCCCCGCAUGGUUGGUUAUUUGGAAUUACUAGGGACUCGGACUUCAUGGGGGGGAGUUGCAGACCUCAAUCCGAACUGGGACCGGCUUUUUGGGAUUCGGUCCACCUCCCGGGAUUGCAGCCCUUUGUACCGGCCACUGUAGCCUGCGGGAAGCCCAAGACAUAAGGGGCAGGAUGAUUUGACGUCAUCCCCACCUUCUUCCGAGUGGACCCCGGCAGUAUCCCAUGAGUUCCCACCAUAACGUGCUGGCAACAUAGAACGAGGGUUGCGCUCGUUGCGGGACUUAACCCAACAUCUCACGACACGAGCUGACGACAACCAUGCACCACCUGUUCACCAGUGUCCAAAGAGUCCCGUAUUUCUACGGUGUUCUGGUGUAUGUCAAGCCUUGGUAAGGUUCUUCGCGUUGCAUCGAAUUAAUCCGCAUGCUCCGCCGCUUGUGCGGGUCCCCGUCAAUUCCUUUGAGUUUUAGCCUUGCGGCCGUACUCCCCAGGCGGGGAACUUAAUGCGUUAGCUGCGUCACGGAAACCGUGGAAUGGUCCCCACAACUAGUUCCCAACGUUUACGGGGUGGACUACCAGGGUAUCUAAGCCUGUUUGCUCCCCACCCUUUCGCUCCUCAGCGUCAGUUACGGCCCAGAGAUCUGCCUUCGCCAUCGGUGUUCCUCCUGAUAUCUGCGCAUUCCACCGCUACACCAGGAAUUCCAAUCUCCCCUACCGCACUCUAGUCUGCCCGUACCCACUGCAGGCCCGAGGUUGAGCCUCGGGAUUUCACAGCAGACGCGACAAACCGCCUACGAGCUCUUUACGCCCAAUAAUUCCGGAUAACGCUUGCGCCCUACGUAUUACCGCGGCUGCUGGCACGUAGUUAGCCGGCGCUUUUUCUGCAGGUACCGUCACAAAAGCUUCUUCCCUGCUAAAAGAGGUUUACAACCCGAAGGCCGUCAUCCCUCACGCGGCGUUGCUGCAUCAGGCUUCCGCCCAUUGUGCAAUAUUCCCCACUGCUGCCUCCCGUAGGAGUCUGGGCCGUGUCUCAGUCCCAGUGUGGCCGGUCACCCUCUCAGGCCGGCUACCCGUCGACGCCUUGGUGAGCCAUUACCUCACCAACAAGCUGAUAGGCCGCGAGCCCAUCCCAGACCGAAAAAUCUUUCCAACCCCCACCAUGCGGAAGGAGCUCAUAUCCAGUAUUAGACACCGUUUCCAGCGCUUAUCCCAGAGUCCAGGGCAGGUUGCUCACGUGUUACUCACCCGUUCGCCACUGAUCCACCAAGCAAGCUUGGCAUCACCGUUCGACCUUG
This 1411-nucleotide ribosomal RNA is filed under the name Microbacterium proteolyticum. Its description in RNAcentral is "partial 16S ribosomal RNA". The record is from RNAcentral. Lineage: Bacteria; Bacillati; Actinomycetota; Actinomycetes; Micrococcales; Microbacteriaceae.